AUUGAACGCUGGCGGCAUGCUUUACACAUGCAAGUCGAACGGUAACAGGCCUUCGGGUGCUGACGAGUGGCGAACGGGUGAGUAAUGCAGCGGAACGUGCCCAGAGGUGGGGGAUAACGCAGCGAAAGCUGUGCUAAUACCGCAUGUGAUCUGAGGAUGAAAGCGGGGGACCAGGCAGCAAUGUUUGGCCUCGCGCCUUUGGAGCUGCCGAUGUCAGAUUAGGUAGUUGGUGGGGUAAAGGCCUACCAAGCCGACGAUCUGUAGCUGGUCUGAGAGGACGACCAGCCACACUGCGACUGAGCCGCGGCCCAGACUCCUACGGUAGGCAGCAGUGCGGAAUGUUGGACUAUGCGCGCAAGCCUGAUCCAGCACUGCCGCGUGCGGGAAGAAGGCCUUCGGGUUGUAGUCCGCUUUUGUUCGGAUCGAAAAGGCUCUGGCUAAUACCUGGGGCUGAUGACGGUACCGUAAGAAUAAGCACCGGCUAACUACGUG
This 492-nucleotide ribosomal RNA is filed under the name uncultured bacterium. Its description in RNAcentral is "partial 16S ribosomal RNA". It matches the Rfam family "Bacterial small subunit ribosomal RNA", at positions 30 to 507 of the family's 1533-position model. The record is from RNAcentral.